UAGGGAUGGCAGGCGGGCGGGUUUUCGCGGGUAUCCGAUCCGUCCAAACCCUAUUAGGACGGAUUUGGGUAUUUACAAAACGGAUUUGGGCGGAUUCGGAUUUGAAAAAUUUUACCCGCCUCGGAUUCGGGUAGGGUUCGGGGUUAGGUGAUCGGAUACCCGUUACCCGAACCCGAUUAGCUAUACUUCAAAACUAACCCUAAAUUCCCUUAUCCCUAAUUCAUUUUCUUAUUUUACUCGACCUUCUCUUUGCGCCUCUCUCCCCCCUUCCCUUCCCAUAAUUUCCAAUCGACACCUCUCCCCCACUUCACUGACGACUGCCGGCAGCCCAGUUGGCACCGGCGACAUCUCCUUCUCUCUCUCCAGUCGGCGAUAUCUCCCACUUCCCAGUCAAUGCCUCCCUCCCCCACUUCCGGUCAGCGAUAUCUCCUUCUCUCUCUCUAGUGUGGCGACAUCUCCCACUUCCCAGUCGGAGACAACUCUUCCCUCUCCUCGGUUGGCAUCGGCGACAUCUCCUUCUCUCUCCACAGUCAGUGACAUCUACUCGUUCCUCUCUCCCCCACUUCACUGACGACUGGAGACAACCCGUGCCUCUCCCCAAUCGGCGUCAGUGACAUCUUCUUUUACUGAAAUCUCUUCGGGAUAUUUAAAAUGUCAACGUUUAAUAGUUUCGAAGAUGUAGCGAGUUGUAAAGCUACUACUGUUUCUCAACCUUCUUCAACCACUCAGCCCGCUAAUAGUUCCAUCCAUUCUCAAUUGGAGCCAUCUACACCAAUCUAUCCCUCUCAUUCACUGCCAGCCGCUUCAGAAAUUGAAGCUGGUUGUUCAAAUGAGAGUAAAUCUUGUUUAUGGGAUGCUGAGGAUGAUGUGAAUUAAAUCAUGCAUUUCACAAUUUUAAUAUCUUUUCAAGCACAAUUUGAUGUUGGAGAUUGAAAUGACCAAUUAAAUAUAUUUU
Long non-coding RNA from Manihot esculenta (cassava), 955 nucleotides. RefSeq lists it as uncharacterized. The record is from RefSeq and is a predicted model, not a curated record. The transcript is spliced from 4 exons. NCBI's taxonomy places the organism in Eukaryota, Viridiplantae, Streptophyta, Magnoliopsida, Malpighiales, Euphorbiaceae.